Ctenopharyngodon idella (grass carp) is the source of this 2159-nucleotide long non-coding RNA. RefSeq lists it as uncharacterized. The record is from RefSeq and is a predicted model, not a curated record. Lineage: Eukaryota; Metazoa; Chordata; Actinopteri; Cypriniformes; Xenocyprididae. The transcript has 3 exons.
UGUGCACUAUUCUAUGACGUUUUUAAGUACAAAUAGUGCGAGUAGUGCGUUCACACAGAAAAUCCCAAAAAGAAAAAGUGCACUUUAAAUACCCGGAUGAUGCACUAAAUUAACGGAAAAAAUGAAGUGUAGAAUGUUGGACACUUCAUGCACUCAACUGUCGCAGCUUUAAUUACGUUGCAGAGGGGGAGGGGCUAUCAGACUCUAUAAGGUCUUACGGGUGUGGAACGACAUGAGGCGCACCGGCUCCAUCCACCCUCAGAUCUGUGCUGACACCUCCACCGCCUCCAUCCACCUUCAGGUCUUUCACCUCCACUGCCUCCAUCUGCUAGGCCUACACUUCCACCCCUUCUUCCACCCGAUGUUUCAACCCAUCACCACGUCACCACGUCACCAGAAACCCCUCAAAGACAAAUCAGGGACAUCAUGUUUGUUCGCAUCUUAACACUUCUUGAGAUGAAAGAGACACAAAAAAUCCAAGGGAGGAUGCUACAAAUGCUUGUAAAACAGCGUGGCAACAUUAGCACCACCGUCUCUUCGACCCCAGAGGGUUUUCCCCUAAAGACAGUUAGGGAUGUGGAAAUCAUGGAAGAAAAACUGGCAAACCCAAACUUCAUGUCCGAACUGGUAUGUAUGUUAAGUCUAGGGUAGUGCAACUCAAUUCAAUUUUAUUGGGGGGCUAGCAGUGAAUUUGAUCUGAAACUUCCCAGGUGUGCUCACACCCAUGCUUCUGGAAGUUCUUUCAUGUUUAGUGGUUUACUUCAGUGAGCAAUAUGCUGUAGAUAAUUUUGCUUUGUAUUGCCUUUGUUCCCCCUCAGGUUGCAGCUAUGACUGACAUAGGGGGGGCAACUGUUGACGAGGCCACAAGAAGGAUGAUGACCUUCCUCCUAGACCAUGGCCUAUCCAGGCAGUACAACUUUGUGGGCCGAAAUGGGAAGAGAGUUCAAGGCCUUAAAACUGUAUGAAGUAAUAUAUGGAAAAAACAACGUUACGGAUGUGACAGUUUUCCGUUACGGAUGCGACCGGUCUGAAAGCGGCACAGAAGACUGCUUUAAAAAACUUUCACAGAGAUCUCAAGCAGGCAUUUAAACCACCAAAUAUUGAAAUCUGGGAUACCAGUAUGGUAAGACUGCACAAUUUAUCAACUUUUUACUAAACUUUAUACUCUGUAUUGCAAAAGGUUAUGGAUUAGACCUAUUUCUCAUGUUGACAAAGUGUGUGCGUUGUUCAAGAAUCAAUUCAGAGACCCUGAUUUUCCUUCUUACAGAACUGCUUGCAAAAAUACAUUGACAAAUAUUAAUGUUUAUCAUAAAGCAGUUUAAAAUCGCAUGUUUUCCCCACAGUCAGGUGAACCGAUUGACGUAGGCUACAAUCGCAAACAUGUCAGUUUUAUGUUUCGUCUAAAUGAUCACACUUUAUUUCAAGUCAAAAUUAUUGCAAUCUUUUUAUUUUGUCAGCUUGAUCGCGCGGAUUGUGAUCAAUAGGCUAUUCAUUUUUUAACCAAUAGGUAAAAACUUCCGAGGGAAGUGUCCUAUGCGACACAGUGCUCUUCUAUAAGUUGUACUGUAUCAUAUAGGCCUACCUUUUGAUGUUCAUAUUUCGUUCUGUAACUGGCAAGAGGAAGAGAAGAUCGGUUCAUGUGCGCCUGAUCCACUUGAUCUGAGGCGCUGCAGUAGCUAAUCUGUCACGCGCCGUAGCUAUAGGCAAUUAAAGAGCGACAUCUAUUGUUUAAAUUUUGUUAUAAAAUCGGCUGAAUUUGAAAGUUGAACCUUUUUCAUAUUAAAACUAACAAAGCACAAAGAGUGUUGCGACUAUUGGAUAUGUUCUGAUAUACGGUAAGCCUGAAACAGACCACAGCAAUAAAGAAGCAAAGUCAUAGGAUUUAAUAUGAAGCGUCCGUAACGGUCACGUCCAUAACGCUUAUUAUGGUUGUUCAGAGCAACGUAGUGAAAUGAAUUGUUGAUCCUAAUAAGCAUAAACAUAAUUUAUGGGGGGUAAUAGACAAGCCCGACAGGCAACCCCUCAACAAGGACUUCAGGCUUCAGGUUCAUUUGAGGUGGAAAGUAGCUAAUCCUGUCUAUAACAGUGAGGGAACACUGAGCAAAAGUUUUCUUAAUGUUUUUCUUAAUUUUACUUAAAUAAAAAGGUAAUUAAUUGUA